AUAAACAGAGGGAAUGUAGGAAAAUACAGGCAAGCUCUUACCACCACAACCAAAGACUGAAGUUCUCAACAGGAUACCAUAGUCACUCAGUAGUGCUGUGAUUUCCUCAGGAGAUACAAAA
This 121-nucleotide small nucleolar RNA is filed under the name Castor canadensis (American beaver). RNAcentral describes it as "Small nucleolar RNA SNORA25 (ENSCCNG00000025387.1)". The record is from RNAcentral. Lineage: Eukaryota; Metazoa; Chordata; Mammalia; Rodentia; Castoridae.